GUGUCAGCAGCCGCGGUAAUACGGAGGAUGCAAGCGUUAUCCGGAUUUAUUGGGUUUAAAGGGUGCGUAGGCUGUGUAGCAAGUCAGUGGUGAAAGCCCGGUGCUCAACACCGGAACUGCCAUUGAUACUGUUGCGCUGGAAUACGGAUGCCGUGGGAGGAAUGAGUAGUGUAGCGGUGAAAUGCAUAGAUAUUACUCAGAACACCGAUUGCGAAGGCAUCUCACGAAUCCGUCAUUGACGCUGAGGCACGAAAGCGUGGGGAUCAAACAGGAUUAGAUACCCUGGUAGUCCACGCAGUAAACGAUGAUAACUAACCGUCGGCGAUAGACAGUCGGUGGCCAAGCGAAAGCGAUAAGUUAUCCACCUGGGGAGUACGACCGCAAGGUUGAA
RNAcentral lists this ribosomal RNA (391 nucleotides) under uncultured bacterium. RNAcentral describes it as "bacterial SSU rRNA". It matches the Rfam family "Bacterial small subunit ribosomal RNA", at positions 505 to 898 of the family's 1533-position model. The record is from RNAcentral.